Mobula hypostoma (lesser devil ray) is the source of this 815-nucleotide long non-coding RNA. RefSeq lists it as uncharacterized. NCBI's taxonomy places the organism in Eukaryota, Metazoa, Chordata, Chondrichthyes, Myliobatiformes, Myliobatidae. The transcript has 3 exons. The record is from RefSeq and is a predicted model, not a curated record.
GAAGACGCUGGGGGGAACCGGUCAUAACACACGAUCCAGUGGGAGACCCGUUUGUUCGAGAUGGAUCGCGAGCGACGUUCGGAAGCACAAACUGGUUUUCAUCAAGACCUGCAGCAUGAGAACCCUGGCUUUGCACCCACUAGUCGCCAGAUCGUUGGUUUUGCCUGUGUGGUAAUUAACGUUUCCCAGCCACUUAGGAUUGUGCAUUCUAAGUUUUGCUUCAGUGCUGAGAAUUACCUGUGAAACUCAGUCGCUCCAUGUCAAGAUAAGUAUUCUAAGUUUUACUUCAGCACCGAGGUUUACCUGUGUAACUCCGUCUCUCUGCACUAAGAAAAGUUUUGUCUGCCGCUUUCCUUUCUAUGCUCUGUGACAAGAUUUACUUCAGCACCGAGGUUUACCUGUGUAACUCCGUCUCUCCACACUAAGAAAAGUUUUGUCUGCCGCUUUCCUUUCUACGCUCCGUGACAAGAUAAGAUCUGCCUACCUCCUGCUUUCCUGCACUCUCUCAUGUUUGCCGUUCAACGCUCACGCCCACGUCUGCAUCCUAACUCAACCUCCAUGCCUGUGCCCUGCAUUUGGGUUCGCCUCGUUCGUUGCAACACAUUGUCAAUGGUGACUUUAUGCUGAAAGAACCCAGAUAAUUCACUCACGCCCUUUCUUAGGAAAGGAAACACUUUGACUUCCCUGGUGCGGCAGGAAGAUGACUCUGUGGACUAACUGGGACUCAACUAGCAGACCUGGAGUCUGGUAGAAGAUACAGAAACAUCUUAUCCAAGACAGUAAGACUGAAGAACAGUUCCUUCCCGAGGGUUGUU